AGAGUUGAUCCUGGCUCAGGAUGAACGCUGGCGGCGUGCCUAACACAUGCAAGUCGAGCGAACCCUUCGGGGUGAGCGGCGGACGGGUGAGUAACGCGUGGGUAACCUGCCCUGUACACACGGAUAACAUACCGAAAGGUAUGCUAAUACGAGAUAAUAUGUAAUGACCGCAUGGUCGAUACAUCAAAGCUCCGGCGGUACAGGAUGGACCCGCGUCUGAUUAGCUAGUUGGUGAGGUAAUGGCUCACCAAGGCGACGAUCAGUAGCCGACCUGAGAGGGUGAUCGGCCACAUUGGAACUGAGACACGGUCCAAACUCCUACGGGAGGCAGCAGUGGGGAAUAUUGCACAAUGGGCGAAAGCCUGAUGCAGCAACGCCGCGUGAGCGAUGAAGGCCUUCGGGUCGUAAAGCUCUGUCCUCAAGGAAGAUAAUGACGGUACUUGAGGAGGAAGCCCCGGCUAACUACGUGCCAGCAGCCGCGGUAAUACGUAGGGGGCUAGCGUUAUCCGGAAUUACUGGGCGUAAAGGGUGCGUAGGUGGUUUCUUAAGUCAGAGGUGAAAGGCUACGGCUCAACCGUAGUAAGCUCUUGAAACUGUAAGACUUGAGUGCAGGAGAGGAGAGUGGAAUUCCUAGUGUAGCGGUGAAAUGCGUAGAUAUUAGGAGGAACACCAGUUGCGAAGGCGGCUCUCUGGACUGUAACUGACGCUGAGGCACGAAAGCGUGGGGAGCAAACAGGAUUAGAUACCCUGGUAGUCCACGCCGUAAACGAUGGGUACUAGGUGUAGGAGGUUUCGAUACCUUCUGUGCCGCAGUUAACGCAAUAAGUACCCCGCCUGGGGAGUACGUGCGCAAGCAUGAAACUCAAAGGAAUUGACGG
Molecule: ribosomal RNA, 878 nt
Filed under: uncultured bacterium
Lineage: Bacteria
Description: bacterial SSU rRNA
Rfam family: Bacterial small subunit ribosomal RNA
Source: RNAcentral